UUCCGCGUGAGUGAAGAAGGCCUUCGGGUUGUAAAGCUCUUUCGCAAGGGAAGAAAACUCGAUCUCUAAUAUAGGUUGAGGCUGACGGUACCUUGAUAAGAAGCACCGGCUAACUACGUGCCAGCAGCCGCGGUAAUACGUAGGGUGCGAGCGUUAAUCGGAAUUACUGGGCGUAAAGCGUGCGCAGGCGGUUUUGAAAGUCAGAUGUGAAAUCCCCGGGCUCAACCUGGGAACUGCGUUUGAAACUCCAAAGCUAGAGUAUGGGAGAGGGAGGUAGAAUUCCACGUGUAGCAGUGAAAUGCGUAGAGAUGUGGAGGAAUACCAAUGGCGAAGGCAGCCUCCUGGCCUAAUACUGACGCUCAUGCACGAAAGCGUGGGGAGCAAACAGGAUUAGAUACCCUGGUAGUCCACGCCCUAAACGAUGUCUACUAGUUGUCGGGAGAGUAACAUCUUUUAGUAACCGAAGCUAACGCGAGAAGUAGACCG
RNAcentral lists this ribosomal RNA (486 nucleotides) under uncultured bacterium. RNAcentral describes it as "bacterial SSU rRNA". It matches the Rfam family "Bacterial small subunit ribosomal RNA", at positions 395 to 871 of the family's 1533-position model. The record is from RNAcentral.